RNAcentral lists this long non-coding RNA (354 nucleotides) under Heterocephalus glaber (naked mole-rat). RNAcentral's name for it is "lncRNA (ENSHGLG00000027012.2)". Lineage: Eukaryota; Metazoa; Chordata; Mammalia; Rodentia; Bathyergidae. The record is from RNAcentral.
AGCGUUGCCAGGCUGGACCAGCUGGCUCUCUUCUGUUCCUAAAACUGUAUGUUCUUAGACACACUUCCUCCAUCCCUUCUGCUGCUGGCGAACUUAGUGUAGCACAAUGUCACUCUCACAAUCACAUGGAAACAGACUCCUGGAGGAACAAAAAGGAGGGACCCUGCGGCCCUACUGCAGCUCUACUGCAGCCCUGUAUUUCUGCCUUCCGUCUUCAUCUCUGUACUCCAUCCAUGCUGGCCUCCAUUCAAAGCCUUGAACAGACUGCAUAAUUGGAAUGGACAUACUUAAACAUCACCACAGAGCACUCACCAAUGCUAGAUGAGCACCCACAUUAUAGCCUUUGCUGGAGCC